This 467-nucleotide ribosomal RNA is filed under the name uncultured bacterium. Its description in RNAcentral is "partial 16S ribosomal RNA". It matches the Rfam family "Bacterial small subunit ribosomal RNA", at positions 28 to 507 of the family's 1533-position model. The record is from RNAcentral.
GACGAACGCUGGCGGCGUGCUUAACACAUGCAAGUCGAACGGAAAGGCCUCUUUCGGGGGGUACUCGAGUGGCGAACGGGUGAGUAACACGUGAGUAACCUGCCCUUGACUUUGGGAUAACUUCAGGAAACUGGGGCUAAUACCGGGUAGGAGCUCCUGCUGCAUGGUGGGGGUUGGAAAGUUUCGGCGGUUGGGGAUGGACGCGCGGCUUAUCAGCUUGUUGGUGGGGUAGUGGCUUACCAAGGCUUUGACGGGUAGCCGGCCUGAGAGGGUGACCGGCCACAUUGGGACUGAGAUACGGCCCAGACUCCUACGGGAGGCAGCAGUGGGGAAUAUUGCACAAUGGGUGGAAGCCUGAUGCAGCAACGCCGUGUGCGGGAUGACGGCCUUCGGGUUGUAAACCGCUUUCGCUCAUGACGAAGCUUUGUGUGACGGUAGUGGGUAAAGAAGCACCGGCUAACUACGUG